Molecule: ribosomal RNA, 632 nt
Filed under: uncultured Bacteroides sp.
Lineage: Bacteria; Pseudomonadati; Bacteroidota; Bacteroidia; Bacteroidales; Bacteroidaceae
Description: bacterial SSU rRNA
Rfam family: Bacterial small subunit ribosomal RNA
Source: RNAcentral
ACCGCUGACGACCGGCGCACGGGUGAGUAACACGUAUCCAACCUACCAUCCUUCGAGGGAUAGCCUUUCGAAAGAAAGAUUAAUACCCGAUCUUAUAGCGAUAAGGCAUCUUAUUGCUAUUAAAGAAUUUCGGUGUUUGAUGGGGAUGCGUUCCAUUAGAUUGUUGGUGAGGUAACGGCUCACCAAGUCUUCGAUGGAUAGGGGUUCUGAGAGGAAGGUCCCCCACAUUGGAACUGAGACACGGUCCAAACUCCUACGGGAGGCAGCAGUGAGGAAUAUUGGUCAAUGGACGAGAGUCUGAACCAGCCAAGUAGCGUGAAGGAUGAAGGCCCUAUGGGUCGUAAACUUCUUUUAUAGGGGAAUAAAGUGCGGAACGUGUUCCGUUUUGUAUGUACCCUACGAAUAAGGAUCGGCUAACUCCGUGCCAGCAGCCGCGGUAAUACGGAGGAUCCGAGCGUUAUCCGGAUUUAUUGGGUUUAAAGGGAGCGUAGGUGGACGUAUAAGUCAGUUGUGAAAGUUUGCGGCUCAACCGUAAAAUUGCAGUUGAUACUGUAUGUCUUGAGUGUACAAGAGGUGGGCGGAAUUCGUGGUGUAGCGGUGAAAUGCUUAGAUAUCACGAAGAACUCCGAUUG